UCUCUAGUUCCAUUGAGAAUAACACAUGUUUUUUCCAUUCAAAUACCAAAACAAACAUAUAUUGUCCUUAAUUGAGUUUAACAACAAUGAAAUGGAGGAUCAAUUGAUGAGAUAUUUCAUAAGAAAAGUUCAAUCAACAAUUUGAUGGUUUCAAUAUCAAUGCAACUACUUCAUUACCAAAGAAAAAUCUGUAAAACAGACCAACCCUAUAACACACAUUUUGAUAACAAUGAGUGCAACUAUAGCAACUAUACACAUUGCAAAAACUCGGAUGAAGGCACAACAACUAGGAACAUUUAAAUUAUGGCUGCGAACAUUAGCAAUAACCAUUUAUUCAUCAUUCACUAUUUUAGGAAUCAAUAAGUGAAAGGAAUACAGAGGAGCCAGAAUGAAAAACCAAAUCUUUCAGCAAGUAGCAGCACACCCAUAUGUAAUUAUCAAUCCCGAGGUCCCAUUUAAUUGUGCUCCUUAUUGGAGUCGUUGCGAGCCAUACGCCGGACCUCUGAUGGAGGGAU
This 515-nucleotide long non-coding RNA is filed under the name Medicago truncatula (barrel medic). RNAcentral's name for it is "lncRNA gene15416". The record is from RNAcentral. Lineage: Eukaryota; Viridiplantae; Streptophyta; Magnoliopsida; Fabales; Fabaceae.